UACGUAGGGUGCGAGCGUUAAUCGGAAUUACUGGGCGUAAAGCGUGCGCAGGCGGUUCUCCAAGUCCGUUGUGAAAGCCCCGGGCUCAACCUGGGAAUGGCAGUGGAAACUAGGGGACUGGAAUCUGGCAGAGGGGGGUGGAAUGCCGCGUGUAGCAGUGAAAUGCGUAGAGAUGCGGCGGAACACCGAUGGCGAAGGCAGCCCCCUGGGCUGAGAUUGACGCUUAGGCACGAAAGCGUGGGGAGCAAACAGG
This 253-nucleotide ribosomal RNA is filed under the name uncultured bacterium. RNAcentral's name for it is "partial 16S ribosomal RNA". It matches the Rfam family "Bacterial small subunit ribosomal RNA", at positions 524 to 776 of the family's 1533-position model. The record is from RNAcentral.